UAAGCGACUAAGCGUACACGGUGGAUGCCCUGGCAGUCAGAGGCGAUGAAGGACGUGCUAAUCUGCGAUAAGCGUCGGUAAGGUGAUAUGAACCGUUAUAACCGGCGAUUUCCGAAUGGGGAAACCCAGUGUGUUUCGACACACUAUCAUUAACUGAAUCCAUAGGUUAAUGAGGCGAACCGGGGGAACUGAAACAUCUAAGUACCCCGAGGAAAAGAAAUCAACCGAGAUUCCCCCAGUAGCGGCGAGCGAACGGGGAGCAGCCCAGAGCCUGAAUCAGUGUGUGUGUUAGUGGAAGCGUCUGGAAAGGCGCGCGAUACAGGGUGACAGCCCCGUACACAAAAAUGCACAUGCUGUGAGCUCGAUGAGUAGGGCGGGACACGUGGUAUCCUGUCUGAAUAUGGGGGGACCAUCCUCCAAGGCUAAAUACUCCUGACUGACCGAUAGUGAACCAGUACCGUGAGGGAAAGGCGAAAAGAACCCCGGCGAGGGGAGUGAAAAAGAACCUGAAACCGUGUACGUACAAGCAGUGGGAGCACGCUUAGGCGUGUGACUGCGUACCUUUUGUAUAAUGGGUCAGCGACUUAUAUUCUGUAGCAAGGUUAACCGAAUAGGGGAGCCGAAGGGAAACCGAGUCUUAACUGGGCGUUAAGUUGCAGGGUAUAGACCCGAAACCCGGUGAUCUAGCCAUGGGCAGGUUGAAGGUUGGGUAACACUAACUGGAGGACCGAACCGACUAAUGUUGAAAAAUUAGCGGAUGACUUGUGGCUGGGGGUGAAAGGCCAAUCAAACCGGGAGAUAGCUGGUUCUCCCCGAAAGCUAUUUAGGUAGCGCCUCGUGAAUUCAUCUCCGGGGGUAGAGCACUGUUUCGGCAAGGGGGUCAUCCCGACUUACCAACCCGAUGCAAACUGCGAAUACCGGAGAAUGUUAUCACGGGAGACACACGGCGGGUGCUAACGUCCGUCGUGAAGAGGGAAACAACCCAGACCGCCAGCUAAGGUCCCAAAGUCAUGGUUAAGUGGGAAACGAUGUGGGAAGGCCCAGACAGCCAGGAUGUUGGCUUAGAAGCAGCCAUCAUUUAAAGAAAGCGUAAUAGCUCACUGGUCGAGUCGGCCUGCGCGGAAGAUGUAACGGGGCUAAACCAUGCACCGAAGCUGCGGCAGCGACGCUUAUGCGUUGUUGGGUAGGGGAGCGUUCUGUAAGCCUGCGAAGGUGUGCUGUGAGGCAUGCUGGAGGUAUCAGAAGUGCGAAUGCUGACAUAAGUAACGAUAAAGCGGGUGAAAAGCCCGCUCGCCGGAAGACCAAGGGUUCCUGUCCAACGUUAAUCGGGGCAGGGUGAGUCGACCCCUAAGGCGAGGCCGAAAGGCGUAGUCGAUGGGAAACAGGUUAAUAUUCCUGUACUUGGUGUUACUGCGAAGGGGGGACGGAGAAGGCUAUGUUGGCCGGGCGACGGUUGUCCCGGUUUAAGCGUGUAGGCUGGUUUUCCAGGCAAAUCCGGAAAAUCAAGGCUGAGGCGUGAUGACGAGGCACUACGGUGCUGAAGCAACAAAUGCCCUGCUUCCAGGAAAAGCCUCUAAGCAUCAGGUAACAUCAAAUCGUACCCCAAACCGACACAGGUGGUCAGGUAGAGAAUACCAAGGCGCUUGAGAGAACUCGGGUGAAGGAACUAGGCAAAAUGGUGCCGUAACUUCGGGAGAAGGCACGCUGAUAUGUAGGUGAAGUCCCUUGCGGAUGGAGCUGAAAUCAGUCGAAGAUACCAGCUGGCUGCAACUGUUUAUUAAAAACACAGCACUGUGCAAACACGAAAGUGGACGUAUACGGUGUGACGCCUGCCCGGUGCCGGAAGGUUAAUUGAUGGGGUUAGCGGUAACGCGAAGCUCUUGAUCGAAGCCCCGGUAAACGGCGGCCGUAACUAUAACGGUCCUAAGGUAGCGAAAUUCCUUGUCGGGUAAGUUCCGACCUGCACGAAUGGCGUAAUGAUGGCCAGGCUGUCUCCACCCGAGACUCAGUGAAAUUGAACUCGCUGUGAAGAUGCAGUGUACCCGCGGCAAGACGGAAAGACCCCGUGAACCUUUACUAUAGCUUGACACUGAACAUUGAGCCUUGAUGUGUAGGAUAGGUGGGAGGCUUUGAAGUGUGGACGCCAGUCUGCAUGGAGCCGACCUUGAAAUACCACCCUUUAAUGUUUGAUGUUCUAACGUGGACCCGUAAUCCGGGUUGCGGACAGUGUCUGGUGGGUAGUUUGACUGGGGCGGUCUCCUCCUAAAGAGUAACGGAGGAGCACGAAGGUUGGCUAAUCCUGGUCGGACAUCAGGAGGUUAGUGCAAUGGCAUAAGCCAGCUUGACUGCGAGCGUGACGGCGCGAGCAGGUGCGAAAGCAGGUCAUAGUGAUCCGGUGGUUCUGAAUGGAAGGGCCAUCGCUCAACGGAUAAAAGGUACUCCGGGGAUAACAGGCUGAUACCGCCCAAGAGUUCAUAUCGACGGCGGUGUUUGGCACCUCGAUGUCGGCUCAUCACAUCCUGGGGCUGAAGUAGGUCCCAAGGGUAUGGCUGUUCGCCAUUUAAAGUGGUACGCGAGCUGGGUUUAGAACGUCGUGAGACAGUUCGGUCCCUAUCUGCCGUGGGCGCUGGAGAAUUGAGGGGGGCUGCUCCUAGUACGAGAGGACCGGAGUGGACGCAUCACUGGUGUUCGGGUUGUCAUGCCAAUGGCACUGCCCGGUAGCUAAAUGCGGAAGAGAUAAGUGCUGAAAGCAUCUAAGCACGAAACUUGCCCCGAGAUGAGUUCUCCCUGACUCCUUGAGAGUCCUGAAGGAACGUUGAAGACGACGACGUUGAUAGGCCGGGUGUGUAAGCGCAGCGAUGCGUUGAGCUAACCGGUACUAAUGAACCGUGAGGCUUAACCU
Molecule: ribosomal RNA, 2902 nt
Filed under: Escherichia coli 2-177-06_S3_C2
Lineage: Bacteria; Pseudomonadati; Pseudomonadota; Gammaproteobacteria; Enterobacterales; Enterobacteriaceae
Description: bacterial LSU rRNA
Rfam family: Bacterial large subunit ribosomal RNA
Source: RNAcentral